GACGAACGCUGGCGGCGUGCUUAACACAUGCAAGCCGAACGAUGAAGCUGGAGCUUGCUCCGGUGGAUUAGUGGCGAACGGGUGAGUAACACGUGAGCAAUCUGCCCUUGACUCUGGGAUAACUGCGGGAAACUGUAGAUAAUACCGGAUACUUUCACUGGAAGGCAUCUUCUGGUGAAGAAAGAAUUUCGGUCAAGGAUGAGCUCGCGGCCUACCAGCGUGUUGGGGAGGUAACGGCUCACCAAGGCGACGACGGGUAGCCGGCCUGAGAGGGUGACCGGCCACACUGGGACUGAGACACGGCCCAGACUCCUACGGGAGGCAGCAGUGGGGAAUAUUGCACAAUGGGCGCAAGCCUGAUGCAGCAACGCCGCGUGAGGGAUGAAGGCCUUCGGGUUGUAAACCUCUUUUAGCAGGGAAGAAGCGAAAGUGACGGUACCUGCAGAAGAAGCACCGGCUAACUACGUGCCAGCCGCCGCGGUAA
RNAcentral lists this ribosomal RNA (484 nucleotides) under uncultured bacterium. Its description in RNAcentral is "partial 16S ribosomal RNA". It matches the Rfam family "Bacterial small subunit ribosomal RNA", at positions 28 to 523 of the family's 1533-position model. The record is from RNAcentral.